This 275-nucleotide ribosomal RNA is filed under the name uncultured prokaryote. Its description in RNAcentral is "partial 16S ribosomal RNA". It matches the Rfam family "Bacterial small subunit ribosomal RNA", at positions 524 to 798 of the family's 1533-position model. The record is from RNAcentral.
UACGGAGGAUCCGAGCGUUAUCCGGAUUUAUUGGGUUUAAAGGGUGCGCAGGCGGGGGAUUAAGUCGGCGGUGAAAUUUUGCAGCUCAACUGUAAAAGUGCCUUCGAAACUGGUUUCCUUGAGUGUAGAUGAAGUAGGCGGAAUUUGUGGUGUAGCGGUAAAAUGCAUAGAUAUCACGAGGAACUCCGAUUGCGCAGGCAGCUUACUAAACUACUACUGACGCUCAGGCACGAAGGCGUGGGGAUCAAACAGGAUUAGAUACCCGCGUAGUCCCU